RNAcentral lists this small RNA (303 nucleotides) under Pan troglodytes (chimpanzee). Its description in RNAcentral is "processed transcript". The record is from RNAcentral. Lineage: Eukaryota; Metazoa; Chordata; Mammalia; Primates; Hominidae.
UGCAGGCAGAUCCCCAAGCUCCUCAGGCAGCUGCAGGAAUUCACAGACCUCGGGCACCGCCUCGACUGUCUGGACCUGAAAGGUGAGAAGCUUGACUACAAGACCUGUGAGGCCCUGGAAGAGGUCUUCAAGAGGCUGCAGUUCAAGGUCGUGGACCUGGAGCAGACAAACCUGGAUGAAGAUGUGAGCGGCCCUGCCACCGCCCACUCGGCUCCCUGAGCUCCCGGGCCCCUUCGAGGGUGCCUCGGCCCUCUUCGACAUGAUCGAGUACUACGAGUCGGCCACCCACCUCAACAUCUCCUU